This 564-nucleotide long non-coding RNA is filed under the name Setaria italica (foxtail millet). Its description in RNAcentral is "long non-coding RNA (SITA_LNC003385)". The record is from RNAcentral. Lineage: Eukaryota; Viridiplantae; Streptophyta; Magnoliopsida; Poales; Poaceae.
GGGCGGCGCCGCGGCGCCCGGCUCCGCCUCCAACGGCGGCGAGUACUCCCCGAAGCCCUCCAAGCCGCUCUCCUGCCUCUCCCGCGCCGCCCGCUACGCCGCCGCCGAGCACCGCCCCAUCUUCGCCCUCGCCGGCAUGCUCUUCGCCGCCGCCCUCUUCACCUUCUCCUCCUCCACCACCUCCACCUCGUCCCCGUCGUACCCCGCAGCGUCGGUCGGAUUCAACCACCUCGCCGUCGCCGGGCACCCAUCCUUCCGCGAGUCCGUCGGUGGCAAGGUGCCCCUGGGCCUGCGGCGGCGCGCGCUGCGGGUGCUGGUGACGGGCGGCGCCGGGUUCGUGGGGAGCCACCUGGUGGACCGCCUGGUGGAGCGCGGCGACAGCGUGAUCGUGGUGGACAACUUCUUCACGGGGCGCAAGGGGAACGUCGCGCACCACCUCCAGAACCCCAGGUUCGAGGUGAUCCGCCACGACGUCGUCGAGCCCAUACUGCUCGAGGUCGACCAGAUCUACCACCUUGCAUGCCCUGCGAGCCCCGUUCACUACAAGUACAACCCCAUCAAGAC